UUAUAUUUGAGAGUUUGAUCCUGGCUCAGGAUGAACGCUGGCGGCGUGCCUAACACAUGCAAGUCGAGCGAUCUCUUCGGAGAGAGCGGCGGACGGGUGAGUAACGCGUGGGUAACCUGCCCUGUACACACGGAUAACAUACCGAAAGGUAUACUAAUACGGGAUAAUAUAUGAAAGUCGCAUGGCUUUUGUAUCAAAGCUCCGGCGGUACAGGAUGGACCCGCGUCUGAUUAGCUAGUUGGUAAGGUAAUGG
RNAcentral lists this ribosomal RNA (253 nucleotides) under Paraclostridium benzoelyticum. RNAcentral describes it as "partial 16S ribosomal RNA". It matches the Rfam family "Bacterial small subunit ribosomal RNA", at positions 1 to 263 of the family's 1533-position model. Lineage: Bacteria; Bacillati; Bacillota; Clostridia; Peptostreptococcales; Peptostreptococcaceae. The record is from RNAcentral.